Molecule: ribosomal RNA, 468 nt
Filed under: uncultured bacterium
Lineage: Bacteria
Description: partial 16S ribosomal RNA
Rfam family: Bacterial small subunit ribosomal RNA
Source: RNAcentral
GACGAACGCUGGCGGCGUGCUUAACACAUGCAAGUCGAACGGAAAGGCCCUGCUUUUGUGGGGUGCUCGAGUGGCGAACGGGUGUGUAACACGUGAGUAACCUGUCCUUGACUUUGGGAUAUCUCCAGGAAACUGGGGCUAAUACCGGAUAUGAGCUCCUGCUGCAUCGUGGUGGUUGGAAAGUUUCGGUGGUUGGGGAUGUACUCGCGGCUUACCAGCUUGUUGGUGGGGUAGUGGCUUACAAAGGCUUUGACGGAUAGCCGGCCUGGGAGGGUGGCCGGCGACAAUGGGACUAAGAGACGCCGCAGACGCGUACGUGAGGCAGUGGUGGAGAGUAUUGCACAGUGGGCGGAAGCGUGAUGCAGAAGCGCCGCGUGCGGGAUGACGUCCUUCGGGUUGUAAACCGCUUUCGACUGUGACGAAGCGUGAGUGACGGUAAUGGAUAAAGAAGCACCGGCUAACUACGUG